AGAGGAUGAGGAGGGACAGACCUCUGGUGUGCCAGUUGUUCCGCCCGGAGCAGCGCUGGGUAGCUAUGUCUGGUUGGGAUAAGCGCUGAAAGCAUAUAAGCGCGAAGCCCACCCCAAGAUGAGAUCUCCCAUCCUUCUUCGGAAGGAGUAAAGCCGCAAGUAGACUACUUGCUUGAUAGGCGGCGUGUGUAAGCGGAGUAAUCCGUUUAGCUAAGCCGUACUAAUGGCUGAGGCCUUGACUUA
RNAcentral lists this ribosomal RNA (243 nucleotides) under Dehalococcoidia bacterium. RNAcentral's name for it is "partial 23S ribosomal RNA". It matches the Rfam family "Bacterial large subunit ribosomal RNA", at positions 2686 to 2925 of the family's 2925-position model. Lineage: Bacteria; Bacillati; Chloroflexota; Dehalococcoidia. The record is from RNAcentral.